UGGGGAAUUUUGGACAAUGGGGGAGACCCUGAUCCAGCCAUCCCGCGUGUGCGAUGAAGGCCUUCGGGUUGUAAAGCACUUUUGGCAGGAAAGAAACGUCAUGGGUUAAUACCCCGUGAAACUGACGGUACCUGCAGAAUAAGCACCGGCUAACUACGUGCCAGCAGCCGCGGUAAUACGUAGGGUGCAAGCGUUAAUCGGAAUUACUGGGCGUAAAGCGUGCGCAGGCGGUUCGGAAAGAAAGAUGUGAAAUCCCAGAGCUCAACUUUGGAACUGCAUUUUUAACUACCGGGCUAGAGUGUGUCAGAGGGAGGUGGAAUUCCGCGUGUAGCAGUGAAAUGCGUAGAUAUGCGGAGGAACACCGAUGGCGAAGGCAGCCUCCUGGGAUAACACUGACGCUCAUGCACGAAAGCGUGGGGAGCAAACAGG
This 429-nucleotide ribosomal RNA is filed under the name Acidobacteriota bacterium. Its description in RNAcentral is "Acidobacteria bacterium partial 16S ribosomal RNA". It matches the Rfam family "Bacterial small subunit ribosomal RNA", at positions 355 to 776 of the family's 1533-position model. The record is from RNAcentral. Lineage: Bacteria; Pseudomonadati; Acidobacteriota.